Molecule: ribosomal RNA, 253 nt
Filed under: uncultured bacterium
Lineage: Bacteria
Description: partial 16S ribosomal RNA
Rfam family: Bacterial small subunit ribosomal RNA
Source: RNAcentral
UACGUAGGGUGCGAGCGUUAAUCGGAAUUACUGGGCGUAAAGCGUGCGCAGGCGGUUCGCCAAGUCAGGUGUGAAAUCCCCGGGCUUAACCUGGGAAUUGCGCUUGAAACUAGCGGGCUUGAGUGUGGCAGAGGGGGGUGGAAUUCCGCGUGUAGCAGUGAAAUGCGUAGAGAUGCGGAGGAACACCGAUGGCGAAGGCAGCCCCCUGGGCCAAUACUGACGCUCAGGCACGAAAGCGUGGGGAGCAAACAGG